CCUACGGGAGGCAGCAGUGGGGAAUUUUGGACAAUGGGCGAAAGCCUGAUCCAGCCAUGCCGCGUGAGUGAAGAAGGCCUUCGGGUUGUAAAGCUCUUUCGGCCGGAACGAAAUCGCACCCGUGAAUAUCGGGUGUGGAUGACGGUACCGGAAGAAGAAGGACCGGCUAACUACGUGCCAGCAGCCGCGGUAAUACGUAGGGUCCGAGCGUUAAUCGGAAUUACUGGGCGUAAAGCGUGCGCAGGCGGUUUUGUAAGCCAGUCGUGAAAUCCCCGGGCUUAACCUGGGAAUGGCGAUUGGGACUGCAAGGCUCGAGUGCGGCAGAGGGGGGUGGAAUUCCACGUGUAGCAGUGAAAUGCGUAGAUAUGUGGAGGAACAUCAAUGGCGAAGGCAGCCCCCUGGGUCGACACUGACGCUCAUGCACGAAAGCGUGGGGAGCAAACAGGAUUAGAUACCCUGGUAGUCCACGCCCUAAACUAUGUCAACUAGUUGUUGGAGGAUGAACUCCUUUAGUAACGCAGCUAACGCGUGAAGUUGACCGCCUGGGGGAGGUACGGUCGCGAGAUUAAACUACAAUAGAAGUUAGACGGCGUGAGACGUGCCGACGGACGACGACGAGGGAGGAGG
This 627-nucleotide ribosomal RNA is filed under the name uncultured bacterium. RNAcentral describes it as "bacterial SSU rRNA". The stretch from base 1 to 543 matches the Rfam family "Bacterial small subunit ribosomal RNA", at positions 338 to 873 of the family's 1533-position model. The record is from RNAcentral.